ACGAACGCUGGCGGCGUGCUUAACACAUGCAAGUCGAACGGUGAAGCGCCUUCCUUUUUGGUGGGUGUGGAUGAGUGGCGAACGGGUGAGUAACACGUGAGUAACCUGCCCCCUUCUUCUGGAUAACCGCAUGAAAGUGUGGCUAAUACGGGAUAUUCUGGGUCUGUCGCAUGAUGGGUCUGGGAAAGAUAUUGUUUCGGUGGGGGAUGGGCUCGCGGCCUAUCAGCUUGUUGGUGGGGUGAUGGCCUACCAAGGCGGUGACGGGUAGCCGGCCUGGGAGGGUGGACGGUCACACUGGGACUGAGACACGGCCCAGACUCCUACGGGAGGCAGCAGUGGGGAAUAUUGCACAAUGGGCGCAAGCCUGAUGCAGCGACGCCGCGUGAGGGAUGGAGGCCUGCGGGUUGUGAACCUCUUUCGCCAGUGAAGCAGGCCUGCCUCGUUUGUGGGUGGGUUGACGGUAGCUGGAUAAGAAGCGCCGGCUAACUACGUG
RNAcentral lists this ribosomal RNA (493 nucleotides) under uncultured bacterium. RNAcentral's name for it is "partial 16S ribosomal RNA". It matches the Rfam family "Bacterial small subunit ribosomal RNA", at positions 29 to 507 of the family's 1533-position model. The record is from RNAcentral.